Molecule: ribosomal RNA, 1358 nt
Filed under: uncultured bacterium
Lineage: Bacteria
Description: bacterial SSU rRNA
Rfam family: Bacterial small subunit ribosomal RNA
Source: RNAcentral
GAUUGAACGCUGGCGGCAUGCCUUACACAUGCAAGUCGAACGGCAGCACGGACUUCGGUCUGGUGGCGAGUGGCGAACGGGUGAGUAAUGCAUCGGAACGUACCCGGUAGUGGGGGAUAACUACCCGAAAGGGUGGCUAAUACCGCAUAUACUGUGCGCAGGAAAGCAGGGGACCUUCGGGCCUUGUGCUACCGGAGCGGCCGAUGUCAGAUUAGGUAGUUGGUGGGGUAACGGCCUACCAAGCCUGCGAUCUGUAGCGGGUCUGAGAGGAUGAUCCGCCACACUGGGACUGAGACGCGGCCCAGACUCCUACGGGAGGCAGCAGUGGGGAAUUUUGGACAAUGGGCGCAAGCCUGAUCCAGCCAUGCCGCGUGAGUGAAGAAGGCCUUCGGGUUGUAAAGCUCUUUCGGACGGAAAGAAAUCGUGCAGGCUAAUACCCUGCGCGGAUGACGGUACCGUCAUAAGAAGCACCGGCUAACUACGUGCCAGCAGCCGCGGUAAUACGUAGGGUGCGAGCGUUAAUCGGAAUUACUGGGCGUAAAGCGUGCGCAGGCGGUUGAUUAAGACAGGCGUGAAAUCCCCGGGCUUAACCUGGGAACUGCGCUUGUGACUGGUCAGCUAGAGUACGGCAGAGGGGGGUGGAAUUCCACGUGUAGCAGUGAAAUGCGUAGAGAUGUGGAGGAACACCGAUGGCGAAGGCAGCCCCCUGGGCCGAUACUGACGCUCAUGCACGAAAGCGUGGGUAGCAAACAGGAUUAGAUACCCUGGUAGUCCACGCCCUAAACGAUGUCAACUAGUUGUUGGGAGGGUAAAACCUUUUAGUAACGUAGCUAACGCGUGAAGUUGACCGCCUGGGGAGUACGGCCGCAAGGCUAAAACUCAAAGGAAUUGACGGGGACCCGCACAAGCGGUGGAUGAUGUGGAUUAAUUCGAUGCAACGCGAAAAACCUUACCUACCCUUGACAUGUCAGAAAUCCCUGAGAGAUUAGGGAGUGCCGCAAGGAAUCUGAACACAGGUGCUGCAUGGCUGUCGUCAGCUCGUGUCGUGAGAUGUUGGGUUAAGUCCCGCAACGAGCGCAACCCUUGUCGUUAAUUGCCAUCAUUAAGUUGGGCACUUUAACGAGACUGCCGGUGACAAACCGGAGGAAGGUGGGGAUGACGUCAAGUCCUCAUGGCCCUUAUGGGUAGGGCUUCACACGUCAUACAAUGGUCGGUACAGAGGGUUGCCAAGCCGCGAGGUGGAGCCAAUCCCAGAAAGCCGAUCGUAGUCCGGAUCGUAGGCUGCAACUCGCCUGCGUGAAGUCGGAAUCGCUAGUAAUCGCAGAUCAGCAUGCUGCGGUGAAUACGUUCCCGGGUCU